This 411-nucleotide unclassified non-coding RNA is filed under the name soil metagenome. RNAcentral's name for it is "partial contains 5.8S ribosomal RNA, internal transcribed spacer 2, and large subunit ribosomal RNA". The stretch from base 1 to 120 matches the Rfam family "5.8S ribosomal RNA", at positions 35 to 154 of the family's 154-position model. The record is from RNAcentral.
GAUGAAGAACGUAGCGAAAUGCGAUAAGUAAUGUGAAUUGCAGAAUUCAGUGAACCAUCGAAUCUUUGAACGCAAAUUGCGCCCGAGGCUUCGGCCAAAGGCAUGUCUGCCUCAGCGUCGGCUUCACCCCUCCCCUCCCUUUCUCUUUUUUCCACAAAGAGAGAAAGGCGAGGGGGACCUGGUUGUCUCGGCCCUCACCGGCCGGGUCCGCCGAAGCACAGAGGCUCGAGCAGGACCCCGCUUACAUGGGCAACAGUCUGGUAGGCGACCUCCCCGGUCGCAUGCCGCUGGUGCCUGGGGCGCCUGCUUCGUCGAGCCCGCAGGAAGUGGCUGCUUGCCACGCCUUCACCCAUUCGACCUGAGUUCAGGCAAGAGCACCCGCUGAACUUAAGCAUAUCAAUAAGCGGAGGA